This 416-nucleotide long non-coding RNA is filed under the name Lathyrus oleraceus (garden pea). Its description in RNAcentral is "Pisum sativum (pea) long non-coding RNA (PSAT_LNC015364)". Lineage: Eukaryota; Viridiplantae; Streptophyta; Magnoliopsida; Fabales; Fabaceae. The record is from RNAcentral.
UUACUUACCACUUUGAGUCUUAGCCAUUCUUUCAGUGACAUGGCUUGUUAUAUAGUCAUUUGACUUGAAAGAUUUAAUUUUCCUACCCUCUUUGGAGUUGGGUAAAAAUGUUUAUUUUCCUUGUCUGAUGCAAUUAUGUAAUUGGGGUUUCUCUUGGAAGUUAGCAACAUUUAACUUUGGGAUUGGGGUACUAGAAAAAUUGGUCAAAAUAAAGAAAAACAAGAAUUUAAAACUGACCUAUUCAAAAAAAAAUUGAAAAAGAAAGAAAGAUGAAUAGGACCAACAAAAUGCAUUCUCUAGUACUGAAUAACCAAUCAAAUAGUGAUAUGAAAGGAAUCAGAUAACAUAAGGGGAAAUAGGUACCUAACUCCAAAAGUUUAAGCCUACCAUCCCAAAAUAUCCUACCCUGACAUAAG